AGGGGUAUAGCUCAGGGAUAGAGCUCUUGCCUUGCAUGUACAAAGCCCUGGGUUCGAUCCCCAGUACCACAU
RNAcentral lists this transfer RNA (72 nucleotides) under Cavia porcellus (domestic guinea pig). It matches the Rfam family "tRNA". Rfam says of the family: Transfer RNA (tRNA) molecules are approximately 80 nucleotides in length. The record is from Rfam by way of RNAcentral. Lineage: Eukaryota; Metazoa; Chordata; Mammalia; Rodentia; Caviidae.